CAGUAGCCGCGGGAAUACAGAGGGUGCGAGCGUUAAUCGGAUUUACUGGGCGUAAAGCGUGCGUAGGCGGCUUCUUAAGUCGGAUGUGAAAUCCCUGAGCUUAACUUAGGAAUUGCAUUCGAUACUGGGAAGCUAGAGUAUGGGAGAGGAUGGUAGAAUUCCAGGUGUAGCGGUGAAAUGCGUAGAGAUCUGGAGGAAUACCGAUGGCGAAGGCAGCCACCUGGCCUAAUACUGACGCUGAGGUACGAAAGCAUGGGGAGCAAACAGGAUUAGAUACCCCAGUAGUCCCUGUCUCUUAUAC
RNAcentral lists this ribosomal RNA (301 nucleotides) under uncultured bacterium. Its description in RNAcentral is "partial 16S ribosomal RNA". It matches the Rfam family "Bacterial small subunit ribosomal RNA", at positions 509 to 807 of the family's 1533-position model. The record is from RNAcentral.